AGAGUUUGAUCAUGGCUCAGGACGAACGCUGGCGGCGCGCCUAACACAUGCAAGUCGAACGAGCGAGAGAGAGCUUGCUUUCUCGAGCGAGUGGCGAACGGGUGAGUAACGCGUGAGGAACCUGCCUCAAAGAGGGGGACAACAGUUGGAAACGACUGCUAAUACCGCAUAAGCCCACGACCCGGCAUCGGGUAGAGGGAAAAGGAGCAAUCCGCUUUGAGAUGGCCUCGCGUCCGAUUAGCUAGUUGGUGAGGUAAUGGCCCACCAAGGCGACGAUCGGUAGCCGGACUGAGAGGUUGAACGGCCACAUUGGGACUGAGACACGGCCCAGACUCCUACGGGAGGCAGCAGUGGGGAAUAUUGCACAAUGGGGGAAACCCUGAUGCAGCGACGCCGCGUGGAGGAAGAAGGUCUUCGGAUUGUAAACUCCUGUUGUUGAGGAAGAUAAUGACGGUACUCAACAAGGAAGUGACGGCUAACUACGUGCCAGCAGCCGCGGUAAAACGUAGGUCACAAGCGUUGUCCGGAAUUACUGGGUGUAAAGGGAGCGCAGGCGGGAAGGCAAGUUGGAAGUGAAAUCCAUGGGCUCAACCCAUGAACUGCUUUCAAAACUGUUUUUCUUGAGUAGUGCAGAGGUAGGCGGAAUUCCCGGUGUAGCGGUGGAAUGCGUAGAUAUCGGGAGGAACACCAGUGGCGAAGGCGGCCUACUGGGCACCAACUGACGCUGAGGCUCGAAAGUGUGGGUAGCAAACAGGAUUAGAUACCCUGGUAGUCCACACUGUAAACGAUGAUUACUAGGUGUUGGAGGAUUGACCCCUUCAGUGCCGCAGUUAACACAAUAAGUAAUCCACCUGGGGAGUACGACCGCAAGGUUGAAACUCAAAGGAAUUGACGGGGGCCCGCACAAGCAGUGGAGUAUGUGGUUUAAUUCGACGCAACGCGAAGAACCUUACCAAGUCUUGACAUCCUGCGACGGUGCUGGAAACAGUACUUUCCUUCGGGACGCAGAGACAGGUGGUGCAUGGUUGUCGUCAGCUCGUGUCGUGAGAUGUUGGGUUAAGUCCCGCAACGAGCGCAACCCUUAUUGUCAGUUGCCAUCAUUAAGUUGGGCACUCUGGCGAGACUGCCGGUGACAAACCGGAGGAAGGUGGGGAUGACGUCAAAUCAUCAUGCCCCUUAUGACCUGGGCUACACACGUGCUACAAUGGACGGUACAACGAGUCGCUAACUCGCGAGGGCAAGCUAAUCUCUUAAAGCCGUUCUCAGUUCGGAUUGCAGGCUGCAACUCGCCUGCAUGAAGUCGGAAUCGCUAGUAAUCGCGAAUCAGCAUGUCGCGGUGAAUACGUUCCCGGGCCUUGUACACACCGCCCGUCACACCAUGAGAGUUUGUAACACCCAAAGUCGGUGGGGUAACCUUUUGGAGCCAGCCGCCUAAGGUGGGACAGAUGAUUGGGGUGAAGUCGUAACAAGGUA
This 1473-nucleotide ribosomal RNA is filed under the name metagenome. RNAcentral describes it as "bacterial SSU rRNA". It matches the Rfam family "Bacterial small subunit ribosomal RNA". The record is from RNAcentral.